GCCAUGGGAUAGCUCAGACAAUAAAGCAUGAGACUCUCAACCUUAGGGUUGUGGGUUCGAGCCCUGCGUUGGGCA
Podarcis lilfordi (Lilford's wall lizard) is the source of this 75-nucleotide non-coding RNA. The record is from the annotation of a GenBank genome assembly. NCBI's taxonomy places the organism in Eukaryota, Metazoa, Chordata, Lepidosauria, Squamata, Lacertidae.